This 468-nucleotide ribosomal RNA is filed under the name uncultured bacterium. Its description in RNAcentral is "partial 16S ribosomal RNA". It matches the Rfam family "Bacterial small subunit ribosomal RNA", at positions 28 to 507 of the family's 1533-position model. The record is from RNAcentral.
GACGAACGCUGGCGGCGUGCUUAACACAUGCAAGUCGAACGGAAAGGCCCUGCUUUUGUGGGGUGCUCGAUUGGCGAACGGGUGAGUAUCACGUGAGUAACCUGCCCUUGACUUUGGGAUAACUUCAGGAAACUGGGGCUCAUACCGGAUAGGAGCUCCUGCUGCAUGGUGGGGGUUGGAAAGUUUCGGCGGUUGUGGAUGGACUCGCGGCUUAUCAGCUUGUUGGUGGGGUAGUGGCUUACAAAGCCUUUGACGGGUAGCCGGCCUGAGAGGGGUACCGGCCACAUUGGGACUGAGAUACGGCGCAGACUCCUACGGGAGGCAGCAGGGGGGAAUAUUGCACAAUGGGCGGAAGCCUGAUGCAGCAACGCCGCGUGCGGGAUGACGGCCUUCGGGUUGUAAACCGCUUUCGCCGGUGACGAAGCGUGAGUGACGGUAAUGGGUAAAGAAGCACCGGCUAACUACGUG